UACGUAGGUGGCAAGCGUUAUCCGGAUUUAUUGGGCGUAAAGGGAACGCAGGCGGUCUUUUAAGUCUGAUGUGAAAGCCUUCGGCUUAACCGGAGUAGUGCAUUGGAAACUGGGAGACUUGAGUGCAGAAGAGGAGAGUGGAACUCCAUGUGUAGCGGUGAAAUGCGUAGAUAUAUGGAAGGACACCAGUGGCGAAAGCGGCUCUCUGGUCUGUAACUGACGCUGAGGUUCGAAAGCGUGGGUAGCAAACAGG
This 253-nucleotide ribosomal RNA is filed under the name uncultured bacterium. RNAcentral's name for it is "partial 16S ribosomal RNA". It matches the Rfam family "Bacterial small subunit ribosomal RNA", at positions 524 to 776 of the family's 1533-position model. The record is from RNAcentral.